UACAUAGAAAGGGUCCCCAGGGUGGGCAGCUGUCCCACAAUGGGGACACGUGGGUGUGCCCUGGGCCCACUCCACCUUUGCUUUCCUUCUGCAGGGCCUGAUGUUUAUAGAAGGCCUCCCACCUGCCAGGCUCUGUGCUGGGACCUUGUGCCAAAGGUCCAGGUUCCAAUUUACAGUUUCAUAAUAUUCCAGAUAUUGUCUAUUGUCUCCUGUACCCCAUGGUUACAGAAUCAAAAGGACCAAACAGCUGUGCCCGGGCUGGAGGGGCUGCCUCGGGAGCAGUGGACUGGCAUGCUCCGCUCCCGCUUGCUGAGCUGCCCAUUAAAUGGAAGGGUCCCUGGAGAGGCGGGGUGAGGGGACCGGCCUUUGGGGCUGGUGGCCGCAUUUCUGUUGUCACAGAGCUCCAACUGCCAAAGUAAACAUAAGUUUUGAAAUUAAGUGGGAACCCCAAGAGGUUUUCAUUUUGGAAAAGAAAUCAGCAAGACAGUGACUGUUUGGGGCCAUGAAGUCCUUUUCUUCCAUGCCCAGAUCUGCAUAGUCUGUGUGGUGAAAGUUGGAAGAAGCUGGAAACGCAGGGAUUGUGCCUAAUGCCAAGGGGCAGGUCACGGAGCAGAAGAAGGGGCUCUAGAGGCAGGCUGGCUCUGCCCCUAACCAGCGUGUGACCUCAGCCUUAUUACCUUGACCUUCCAGCCAUGACGGGGCUGCUGCACGCCUGGCGGUAUUAAAGCGGAGUUCUCGGCUCUGGGAGGAAAGGGGAGCUGCCUUCCAAACUCACCUUGCCGGGAUGUAUCCCUUCUCCCCUCAGACCGUUCUUGUCUCCUAGCUGCUGGGAGUCGGGGUGAUGGUCGCCUGUUUGGA
Manis javanica (Malayan pangolin) is the source of this 858-nucleotide long non-coding RNA. RefSeq lists it as uncharacterized. NCBI's taxonomy places the organism in Eukaryota, Metazoa, Chordata, Mammalia, Pholidota, Manidae. The record is from RefSeq and is a predicted model, not a curated record.